RNAcentral lists this transfer RNA (72 nucleotides) under Ovis aries (sheep). It matches the Rfam family "tRNA". Rfam says of the family: Transfer RNA (tRNA) molecules are approximately 80 nucleotides in length. Their secondary structure includes four short double-helical elements and three loops (D, anti-codon, and T loops). Further hydrogen bonds mediate the characteristic L-shaped molecular structure. tRNAs have two regions of fundamental functional importance: the anti-codon, which is responsible for specific mRNA codon recognition, and the 3' end, to which the tRNAs corresponding amino acid is attached (by aminoacyl-tRNA synthetases). tRNAs cope with the degeneracy of the genetic code in two manners: having more than one tRNA (with a specific anti-codon) for a particular amino acid; and 'wobble' base-pairing, i.e. permitting non-standard base-pairing at the 3rd anti-codon position. The record is from Rfam by way of RNAcentral. Lineage: Eukaryota; Metazoa; Chordata; Mammalia; Artiodactyla; Bovidae.
UCCCUGGUGGCUCAGAUGGUAAAGCAUCUGCCUGCAAUGCAGGAGACCCGGGAUUGAUCCCUGGGUGGGGAA